AACCGGGGGAACUGAAACAUCUAAGUACCCCGAGGAAAAGAAAUCAACCGAGAUUCCCCCAGUAGCGGCGAGCGAACGGGGAGCAGCCCAGAGCCUGAAUCAGUGUGUGUGUUAGUGGAAGCGUCUGGAAAGGCGUGCGAUACAGGGUGACAGCCCCGUACACAAAAAUGCACAUAUUGUGAGCUCGAUGAGUAGGGCGGGACACGUGGUAUCCUGUCUGAAUAUGGGGGGACCAUCCUCCAAGGCUAAAUACUCCUGACUGACCGAUAGUGAACCAGUACCGUGAGGGAAAGGCGAAAAGAACCCCGGCGAGGGGAGUGAAAAAGAACCUGAAACCGUGUACGUACAAGCAGUGGGAGCACGCUUAGGCGUGUGACUGCGUACCUUUUGUAUAAUGGGUCAGCGACUUAUAUUCUGUAGCAAGGUUAACCGAAUAGGGGAGCCGAAGGGAAACCGAGUCUUAACUGGGCGUUAAGUUGCAGGGUAUAGACCCGAAACCCGGUGAUCUAGCCAUGGGCAGGUUGAAGGUUGGGUAACACUAACUGGAGGACCGAACCGACUAAUGUUGAAAAAUUAGCGGAUGACUUGUGGCUGGGGGUGAAAGGCCAAUCAAACCGGGAGAUAGCUGGUUCUCCCCGAAAGCUAUUUAGGUAGCGCCUCGUGAAUUCAUCUCCGGGGGUAGAGCACUGUUUCGGCAAGGGGGUCAUCCCGACUUACCAACCCGAUGCAAACUGCGAAUACCGGAGAAUGUUAUCACGGGAGACACACGGCGGGUGCUAACGUCCGUCGUGAAGAGGGAAACAACCCAGACCGCCAGCUAAGGUCCCAAAGUCAUGGUUAAGUGGGAAACGAUGUGGGAAGGCCCAGACAGCCAGGAUGUUGGCUUAGAAGCAGCCAUCAUUUAAAGAAAGCGUAAUAGCUCACUGGUCGAGUCGGCCUGCGCGGAAGAUGUAACGGGGCUAAACCAUGCACCGAAGCUGCGGCAGCGACGCUGAUGCGUUGUUGGGUAGGGGAGCGUUCUGUAAGCCUGUGAAGGUGUGCUGUGAGGUAUGCUGGAGGUAUCAGAAGUGCGAAUGCUGACAUAAGUAACGAUAAAGCGGGUGAAAAGCCCGCUCGCCGGAAGACCAAGGGUUCCUGUCCAACGUUAAUCGGGGCAGGGUGAGUCGACCCCUAAGGCGAGGCCGAAAGGCGUAGUCGAUGGGAAACAGGUUAAUAUUCCUGUACUUGGUGUUACUGCGAAGGGGGGACGGAGAAGGCUAUGUUGGCCGGGCGACGGUUGUCCCGGUUUAAGCGUGUAGGCUGGUUUUCCAGGCAAAUCCGGAAAACUAAGGCUGAGGCGUGAUGACGAGGCACUACGGUGCUGAAGCAACAAAUGCCCUGCUUCCAGGAAAAGCCUCUAAGCAUCAGGUAACAUCAAAUCGUACCCCAAACCGACACAGGUGGUCAGGUAGAGAAUACCAAGGCGCUUGAGAGAACUCGGGUGAAGGAACUAGGCAAAAUGGUGCCGUAACUUCGGGAGAAGGCACGCUGAUAUGUAGGUGAAGUCCCUCGCGGAUGGAGCUGAAAUCAGUCGAAGAUACCAGCUGGCUGCAACUGUUUAUUAAAAACACAGCACUGUGCAAACACGAAAGUGGACGUAUACGGUGUGACGCCUGCCCGGUGCCGGAAGGUUAAUUGAUGGGGUCAGCGCAAGCGAAGCUCUUGAUCGAAGCCCCGGUAAACGGCGGCCGUAACUAUAACGGUCCUAAGGUAGCGAAAUUCCUUGUCGGGUAAGUUCCGACCUGCACGAAUGGCGUAAUGAUGGCCAGGCUGUCUCCACCCGAGACUCAGUGAAAUUGAACUCGCUGUGAAGAUGCAGUGUACCCGCGGCAAGACGGAAAGACCCCGUGAACCUUUACUAUAGCUUGACACUGAACAUUGAGCCUUGAUGUGUAGGAUAGGUGGGAGGCUUUGAAGUGUGGACGCCAGUCUGCAUGGAGCCGACCUUGAAAUACCACCCUUUAAUGUUUGAUGUUCUAACGUUGACCCGUAAUCCGGGUUGCGGACAGUGUCUGGUGGGUAGUUUGACUGGGGCGGUCUCCUCCUAAAGAGUAACGGAGGAGCACGAAGGUUGGCUAAUCCUGGUCGGACAUCAGGAGGUUAGUGCAAUGGCAUAAGCCAGCUUGACUGCGAGCGUGACGGCGCGAGCAGGUGCGAAAGCAGGUCAUAGUGAUCCGGUGGUUCUGAAUGGAAGGGCCAUCGCUCAACGGAUAAAAGGUACUCCGGGGAUAACAGGCUGAUACCGCCCAAGAGUUCAUAUCGACGGCGGUGUUUGGCACCUCGAUGUCGGCUCAUCACAUCCUGGGGCUGAAGUAGGUCCCAAGGGUAUGGCUGUUCGCCAUUUAAAGUGGUACGCGAGCUGGGUUUAGAACGUCGUGAGACAGUUCGGUCCCUAUCUGCCGUGGGCGCUGGAGAACUGAGGGGGGCUGCUCCUAGUACGAGAGGACCGGAGUGGACGCAUCACUGGUGUUCGGGUUGUCAUGCCAAUGGCACUGCCCGGUAGCUAAAUGCGGAAGAGAUAAGUGCUGAAAGCAUCUAAGCACGAAAC
This 2587-nucleotide ribosomal RNA is filed under the name Shigella boydii. RNAcentral's name for it is "partial 23S ribosomal RNA". It matches the Rfam family "Bacterial large subunit ribosomal RNA", at positions 181 to 2793 of the family's 2925-position model. The record is from RNAcentral. Lineage: Bacteria; Pseudomonadati; Pseudomonadota; Gammaproteobacteria; Enterobacterales; Enterobacteriaceae.